CGGGUGGGCCGGGCGAUCGCUGGCUUCGGCGCUGGGGUGACAAGUUAAAGCUUGUCGCUUCAGAUUCGGGGCGGGAGGAAAGUCCGGACACCGUAGCUCGCUGCCGCAAGGCUUCGAGCUUCAGGGCAACGCGCCUGGUAACGCCAGGGGACGCAGUUGAAGCGACGGGCCGCAAGGCCGCCGCUCCAAAAGCGCGUCACGGACAGUGCCACAGAGAAUAUACCGCCGGCGCGGCGAAUGCUUCGGUGACAGGCCGCAGGAAAACCUGCGGCACGUCUUCCACAAGCACGUUGCGCAAGGUGUCGACCGCCCCGGUUUAACCGGGAUCUUCGACUUCGCGGUCGCAUCAGGCAAGGGUGAAAAGGUGGGGUAAGAGCCCACCGGUCCGGUCGCGAGACCGAACGCAUGGCAAACCCCGCGUGGUGCAAGGCCAAAUAGGAGGGGAGAGCUGGCCCGGCUCGUUUGCACCGAGCGCGCAAGCGCGAAGUGCUCACCCGGAGAGCCGAUUUAGUCGGCUCGAAGGGCAUCAACCCUCGGGUAGGCCGCUUGAGGCACGGUGUGAGCCGUGCCCCAGAGGAAUGAUCGUCGCGGCAUGGUGACACGCCCCGAUGCAACCCGUCGGGACAUGAAAGCCGUGCUGCACAGAAUCCGGCUUAUAGGCCCAUCCGCCCU
This 672-nucleotide RNase P RNA is filed under the name Acidobacteriota bacterium. RNAcentral describes it as "Acidobacteria bacterium RNase P RNA component class A". It matches the Rfam family "Bacterial RNase P class A". From Rfam's summary of the family: Ribonuclease P (RNase P) is a ubiquitous endoribonuclease, found in archaea, bacteria and eukarya as well as chloroplasts and mitochondria. Its best characterised activity is the generation of mature 5'-ends of tRNAs by cleaving the 5'-leader elements of precursor-tRNAs. Cellular RNase Ps are ribonucleoproteins. The record is from RNAcentral. Lineage: Bacteria; Pseudomonadati; Acidobacteriota.